Long non-coding RNA from Salvia splendens (bonfire salvia), 333 nucleotides. RefSeq lists it as uncharacterized. Lineage: Eukaryota; Viridiplantae; Streptophyta; Magnoliopsida; Lamiales; Lamiaceae. The record is from RefSeq and is a predicted model, not a curated record. The transcript is spliced from 3 exons.
GACGAUUACACCGGUUUUUCAGUGGAUUUGUAUUCUCGUGGUCGGUUCCGAACAUUACUCCGCCGCGUUCUAAGUAGAGACGCAGAUCUUAUAAUGCCGAAAAGAGGACGGCCAAGCAAUUCGCAGCAAACCCAGCAAGAUGAAAAUUCAGUCGUGGGUUCAGCUUCCUGAUGGUAACUGGGAGCUGGGGACAGUUCUUCAGGCUACUGGUAAUGAUUCAGUGAUAACAUCGCCUGAGGGAAAAGGGUGCAAAAUUUUGGUUUCCAUUAUUGUUUUUUCUUGAACUGUUACCUUGUGGCUUUCAUUAACAAUUUUCCUUGUGUAGGUACUGAA